GACGAACGCUGGCGGCGUGCUUAACACAUGCAAGUCGAACGGAAAGGCCCUGCUUUUGUGGGGUGCUCGAGUGGCGAACGGGUGUGUAACACGUGAGUCUCCUGCCCUUGCCUUUGGGAUAACUUCAGGAAACUGGGGAUAAUACCGGAUAGGAGUUCCUGCUGCAUGGUGGGGGUUGGAAAGUUUCGGCGGUUGGGGAUGGGCUCGCGGCUUAUCAGCUUGUUGGGGGGGUAGUGGCUUACCAAGGCUUUGACGGGUAGCCGGCCUGAGAGGGUGACCGGCCACAAUGGGACUGAGAUACGGCCCAGUCUCCUACGGGAGGCAGGAGGGGGGAAUAAUUCACAAUGGGCGGGAGCCUGAUACAGCAACGCCGCGUGCGGGAUGACGGCCUUCGGGUUGUGUACCGCUUUCGCCGGUGACGAAGCGUGAGUGACGGUAAUGAGUAAAGAAGCACCGGCUAACUACGUG
This 468-nucleotide ribosomal RNA is filed under the name uncultured bacterium. RNAcentral's name for it is "partial 16S ribosomal RNA". It matches the Rfam family "Bacterial small subunit ribosomal RNA", at positions 28 to 507 of the family's 1533-position model. The record is from RNAcentral.